RNAcentral lists this unclassified non-coding RNA (404 nucleotides) under fungal sp. Its description in RNAcentral is "partial internal transcribed spacer region". The stretch from base 1 to 46 matches the Rfam family "Eukaryotic small subunit ribosomal RNA", at positions 1786 to 1831 of the family's 1831-position model. The record is from RNAcentral. Lineage: Eukaryota; Fungi.
AAGUCGUAACAAGGUAACCGUAGGUGAACCUGCGGUUGGAUCAUUACUGAAAUACUCAUCCGGGAUUUUUCUUUUUUCUUUUCCCGAACGGGAGAGGAAAUUGAAGUCCCGGUAUGAUAUUUACACCCCCUUGUGAAUUGUAUACUUGUAUUUUGGCUGCCCUUCCAAUGAUAAAUAUUUUAUGAUAUGGGCGGUGCGGGAUUUCCCAUAUGGGAAACCAUCCGGGAUCCCUCCCCCCACCCAUUCAUUUAAUUUUCCUUUACCAAAGGGGGCGAGCGGUCAGUAACUUUAAAAACACCUUAUGAACCCAUUUUAUUUCCAUGAGUCUCCUAGCGAUUCUUUUUGAGAAACGCGUUUUUGAAUCAAUAAAAAAACAACUUUUGACAACGGAUCUCUUGGCUCUC